Molecule: ribosomal RNA, 465 nt
Filed under: uncultured bacterium
Lineage: Bacteria
Description: partial 16S ribosomal RNA
Rfam family: Bacterial small subunit ribosomal RNA
Source: RNAcentral
GACGAACGCUGGCGGCGUGCUUAACACAUGCAAGUCGAACGGAAAGGCCCUGCUUGCAGGGUACUCGAGUGGCGAACGGGUGAGUAACACGUGGGUGAUCUGCCCUGCACUUCGGGAUAAGCCUGGGAAACUGUGUCUAAUACCGGAUAGGAGCCAUUUUUAGUGUGAUGGUUGGAAAGUUUUUUCGGUGUAGGAUGAGGUGGCGCCCUAUCAGCUUGUUGGUGGGGUAAUGGCCUACCAAGGCGGCGACGGGUAGCCGGCCUGAGAGGGUGGAAGGGCAAAAUGGGACUGAGAAAAGGCACAGACAGCGACGGGAGGAAGAAGUGGGGAAGAUUGAACAAGGGGAGCAAGCCUGAUGCAGCGAAGCCGCGGGGGGGAGGACGGCCUUCGGGUUGAAAAAUCCUUUCGCUAGGGACGAAGCUUUUUGUGACGGUACCUAGAUAAGAAGCACCGGCUAACUACGUG